AUUGAACGCUGGCGGCAUGCCUUACACAUGCAAGUCGGACGGCAGCGCGGGAGCAAUCCUGGCGGCGAGUGGCGAACGGGUGAGUAAUACAUCGGAACAUGUCCAGUAGUGGGGGAUAGCCCGGCGAAAGCCGGAUUAAUACCGCAUACGAUCUAUGGAUGAAAGCGGGGGAUCGCAAGACCUCGCGCUAUUGGGGUGGCCGAUGGCGGAUUAGCUAGUUGGUGGGGUAAAGGCCUACCAAGGCGACGAUCCGUAGCUGGUCUGAGAGGACGACCAGCCACACUGGGACUGAGACACGGCCCAGACUCCUACGGGAGGCAGCAGUGGGGAAUUUUGGACAAUGGGGGCAACCCUGAUCCAGCAAUGCCGCGUGUGUGAAGAAGGCCUUCGGGUUGUAAAGCACUUUUGUCCGGGAAGAAAUCCCCUGCCCUAAUACGGCGGGGGGAUGACGUACCGAAGAAUAAGCCC
RNAcentral lists this ribosomal RNA (468 nucleotides) under Burkholderia sp. oral taxon D43. Its description in RNAcentral is "bacterial SSU rRNA". It matches the Rfam family "Bacterial small subunit ribosomal RNA", at positions 29 to 493 of the family's 1533-position model. The record is from RNAcentral. Lineage: Bacteria; Pseudomonadati; Pseudomonadota; Betaproteobacteria; Burkholderiales; Burkholderiaceae.